GUAACACGUGGGAACGUGCCUUUUGGUUCGGAAUAGCUCCUGGAAACGGGUGGUAAUGCCGAAUGUGCCCUUCGGGGGAAAGAUUUAUCGCCAUUAGAGCGGCCCGCGUCUGAUUAGCUAGUUGGUGAGGUAAAGGCUCACCAAGGCUACGAUCAGUAGCUGGUCUGAGAGGAUGACCAGCCACAUUGGGACUGAGACACGGCCCAAACUCCUACGGGAGGCAGCAGUGGGGAAUCUUGCGCAAUGGGCGAAAGCCUGACGCAGCCAUGCCGCGUGAAUGAUGAAGGUCUUAGGAUUGUAAAAUUCUUUCAGUAGGGACGAUAAUGACGGUACCUACAGAAGAAGCCCCGGCUAACUUCGUGCC
This 364-nucleotide ribosomal RNA is filed under the name uncultured bacterium. RNAcentral's name for it is "bacterial SSU rRNA". It matches the Rfam family "Bacterial small subunit ribosomal RNA", at positions 110 to 509 of the family's 1533-position model. The record is from RNAcentral.